Molecule: ribosomal RNA, 506 nt
Filed under: uncultured bacterium
Lineage: Bacteria
Description: partial 16S ribosomal RNA
Source: RNAcentral
GGAGUUAGCCGGUGCUUCUUCUGUGAGUGAUGUCCUUCCUGCCGGCUAUUAACCCGCAGGCCUUCUUCCUCACUGAAAGUGCUUUACAACCCGAAGGCCUUCUUCACACACGCGGCAUGGCUGGAUCAGGGUUGCCCCCAUUGUCCAAUAUUCCCCACUGCUGCCUCCCGUAGGAGUCUGGGCCGUGUCUCAGUCCCAGUGUGGCUGAUCAUCCUCUCAGACCAGCUACGGAUCGUCGCCUUGGUGAGCCGUUACCUCACCAACCAGCUAAUCCGACAUAGGCUCAUCCGAUAGCGCGAGGCCCGAAGGUCCCCCGCUUUCCCCCGUAGGGCGUAUGCGGUAUUAGCCUGGGUUUCCCCAGGUUAUCCCCCACUACCGGGCAGAUUCCUAUGCAUUACUCACCCGUCCGCCGCUCGCCACCAGGGAGCAAGCUCCCCGUGCUGCCGCUCGACUUGCAUGUGUAGCGUCGCCGCCAGCGUCAUCUGAGCCAUGAUACAACUACUCGA